Molecule: long non-coding RNA, 690 nt
Filed under: Fukomys damarensis (Damara mole-rat)
Lineage: Eukaryota; Metazoa; Chordata; Mammalia; Rodentia; Bathyergidae
Description: lncRNA (ENSFDAG00000021806.1)
Source: RNAcentral
CUCCAGCCCUGUAAGUCAGAUUCCUGUGGUUUAGAGGAUGGCGUGGCUGCACUCCGGCUCAGUACCAAAGAUGUGCUUUCUGUCCCCAGCUAUGCCCCUUCGCAGCUGCGUUCAGACUUUCCUGAGCCACGAGAAGAUGAACACAGGGAUACGCGUACGAUCAGGACAUACUCUCCAGCGCAUCUGUCUUUGAAGAGUGGUCCGUGCCUUCACCCUCUUGGCAUGCCCUCGGCACACGCCCUUCUCUCUUCACGGCUUAGCCUGGCCUUGAAGAAGCCACAGAGCCCAGGCGUUUCCAGUGCAGUGCGAGGAGACGCUGGAGUGGCGGGGACCCUUCCUGCGCACAUUCCUUCGGGUCUCCUAGGGAGCCCGGCUCUUCUCCCUCACCUGAACGACGUAGCAAAUGUGCUGAAUAGAUAGAGCUACUGCGUGGGAUGGCAGAAAGCUAGGGGUUUUGUUAGCUUAUUUGCUUCGGCUGCUGCUGCUGGUUUUGUUUUUGAUGUUUCUGUUGACCAAAGAAAAAUGAAUUUAUGGCCCACAGAGUGAAUGUAAGAAUCUUAUAAAAGCUAAACUCAAAGAAAAAAAUAUGAGAAAAUGAAAAAAUGGAAAUAAAGUGUUUGUAAAUGGGGAGGGGAGGAGGGGGUGAAGGGAGGGCAGGGACAAGGGGAAAAAUAAGAACCAAGACCUGUC